GAGAGAGAGGAGGGCGAACGAAUGCGGAACAGGACGAGGCCAUCGCUCUUCCUCUCUAUUGCUAUUCGUCGCAUGUUUCGAUCCUUGGUACAUCAAUAAAUACGAUUCCUCUUCGAAUUCCUCGCUCGCCAUCUCUUUCUCUCGUCCGAGCAUCGAAAGGUUCCGUUGCAAAGCGGAUCAUUGAACAGUUGUUACUCGUGCAUGAAUAGCGGCCAUCAUGAUGGGGUCAUUUCUUAGUAGGGGCUUGAUACUGGUUUUUGGGUAUGCUUACCCAGCUUAUGAGUGCUACAAGACCGUGGAAUUGAACAAGCCGGAGAUCGAACAGUUGCUUUUCUGGUGUCAGUAUUGGAUUUUAGUUGCAUCAUUGGCCAUCUUGGAGAGAUUAGUAGAUGUUUUCUUUUCAUGG
Musa acuminata AAA Group (dessert banana) is the source of this 406-nucleotide long non-coding RNA. RefSeq lists it as uncharacterized. NCBI's taxonomy places the organism in Eukaryota, Viridiplantae, Streptophyta, Magnoliopsida, Zingiberales, Musaceae. The record is from RefSeq and is a predicted model, not a curated record. The transcript is spliced from 4 exons.